CGGUUGAUCCUGCCGGAGGCACUGCUAUGGGGGUCCGACUAAGCCAUGCGAGUCAUGGGGGUGUCCCUUCUGGGACACCACCGGCGGACGGCUCAGUAACACGUCGGUAACCUACCCUCGGGAGGGGGAUAACCCCGGGAAACUGGGGCUAAUCCCCCAUAGGUGUGGGGUACUGGAAGGUCCCCACACCGAAAGGGGCCUCGUGCCCGCCCGAGGAUGGGCCGGCGGCCGAUUAGGUAGUUGGUGGGGUAACGGCCCACCAAGCCGAAGAUCGGUACGGGCCAUGAGAGUGGGAGCCCGGAGAUGGACACUGAGACACGGGUCCAGGCCCUACGGGGCGCAGCAGGCGCGAAACCUCCGCAAUGCGGGAAACCGCGACGGGGGGACCCCCAGUGCCGUGGCAACGCCACGGCUUUUCCGGAGUGUAAAAAGCUCCGGGAAUAAKGGCUGGGUAAGGCCGGUGGCAGCCGCCGCGGUAAUACCGGCGGCCCGAGUGKUGGCUGCUAUUAUUGGGCCUAAAGCGUSSGUAGCCGGGCCCGUAAGUCCCUGGCGAAAUCCCACGGCUCAACCGUGGGGCUUGCUGGGGAUACUGCGGGCCUUGGGACCGGGAGAGGCGGGGGGUACCCCUGGGGUAGGGGGUGAAAUCCUAUAAUCCCAGGGGGACCGCCAGUGGCGAAGGCGCCCCGCUGGAACGGGUCCGACGGUGAGGGACGAAGGCCAGGGGAGCGAACCGGAUUAGAUACCCGGGUAGUCCUGGCUGUAAAGGAUGCGGGCUAGGUGUCGGGCGAGCUCCCGAGCUCGCCCGGUGCCGUAGGGAAGCCGUUAAGCCCGCCGCCUGGGGAGUACGGCCGCAAGGCUGAAACUUANAMSSAAUUGGCGGGGGAGCACUACAAGGGGUGGAGCGUGCGGUUUAAUUGGAUUCAACGCCGGGAACCUNAAAAAAAARMGACGGCAGGAUGAAGGCCAGGCUGAAGGUCUUGCCGGACACGCCGAGAGGAGGUGCAUGGCCGCCGUCAGCUCGUACCGUGAGGCGUCCACUUAAGUGUGGUAACGAGCGAGACCCGCGCCCCCAGUUGCCAGUCCCUCCCGCUGGGAGGGAGGCACUCUGGGGGGACCGCCGGCGAUAAGCCGGAGGAAGGAGCGGGCGACGGUAGGUCAGUAUGCCCCGAAACCCCCGGGCUACACGCGCGCUACAAUGGGCGGGACAAUGGGAUCCGACCCCGAAAGGGGAAGGAAAUCCCCUAAACCCGCCCUCAGUUCGGAUCGCGGGCUGCAACUCGCCCGCGUGAAGCUGGAAUCCCUAGUACCCGCGUGUCAUCAUCGCGCGGCGAAUACGUCCCUGCUCCUUGCACUGCACCGCCCGUC
This 1365-nucleotide ribosomal RNA is filed under the name uncultured Thermococcales archaeon. Its description in RNAcentral is "bacterial SSU rRNA". It matches the Rfam family "Archaeal small subunit ribosomal RNA". The record is from RNAcentral. Lineage: Archaea; Methanobacteriati; Methanobacteriota; Thermococci; Thermococcales.